RNAcentral lists this ribosomal RNA (253 nucleotides) under uncultured bacterium. RNAcentral describes it as "partial 16S ribosomal RNA". It matches the Rfam family "Bacterial small subunit ribosomal RNA", at positions 524 to 776 of the family's 1533-position model. The record is from RNAcentral.
UACGUAGGGGGCAAGCGUUGUCCGGAUUUAUUGGGCGUAAAGAGCGUGUAGGCGGCCUGGUAGGUCAGCUGUGAAAACUCGAGGCUCAACCUCGAGACGCCGGUUGAAACCAUCAGGCUAGAGUCCGGAAGAGGAGAGUGGAAUUCCCGGUGUAGCGGUGAAAUGCGCAGAUAUCGGGAAGAACACCCGUGGCUAAGGCGGCUCUCUAGUACGGUACUGACGCUGAGACGCGAAAGCGUGGGGAGCGAACAGG